This is a long non-coding RNA of Neodiprion virginianus, 337 nucleotides long. RefSeq lists it as uncharacterized. The record is from RefSeq and is a predicted model, not a curated record. The transcript is spliced from 2 exons. Lineage: Eukaryota; Metazoa; Arthropoda; Insecta; Hymenoptera; Diprionidae.
UUUUUUCUGUAGGUUUACCACCUUCUCCAUUAUUUCUGGUUGAACACUGAUCCACUAAUAGCAUGAAUAUAAAACCUAGUACCAGUGUUAUACCUAUGAGGCUGUGGAGGUCACCUGAAAAAAUAAGAUGCACAAUAAUCAAACGGGGAUAUAGAAAUUUUUGGCCAGUCUGAUGCACUCUCGAUCUGACGGUGUCUUACCGCUGCCAUGCUGAUGGGCUUCGUUACCUCCAGCAUUGAAUAAAGCUCGCACACCUUCUGGAAUAAUAACAGCUAAAGCUGUUCCGACAAGUAGGCCUGCUCCCAAAACUGAGACAAGCUGUAAUUUAUCCUGAAAU